This 678-nucleotide ribosomal RNA is filed under the name Scolytodes johnsoni. Its description in RNAcentral is "partial large subunit ribosomal RNA". It matches the Rfam family "Eukaryotic large subunit ribosomal RNA", at positions 386 to 839 of the family's 3401-position model. The record is from RNAcentral. Lineage: Eukaryota; Metazoa; Arthropoda; Insecta; Coleoptera; Curculionidae.
CCUGAGAAACCCGAAAGGUCGAAGGAGAAAUUCAUUCGCGUUUCGCAGUAAGCGUUAAGCGGUGUGUGUGACGAGAUGGGAUUCUUCCUGUUCCGCGCCCUCUGUUUUUCGAUCUUGCAGCGAACGCGUGCACUUUUCUCCUGGUAGGACGUCGCGAUCCGUUGGGUGCCGAUUUACGAAUGUUGCGAUGGAGCCCGUUUGUAGCGUCCGCAAGGACGUUUAUUACUUACGAACUCGUGCAUUCCAAUCGGCUCGCUCGACGGUAUAAUAGAUAACGGUUAAGAGCCGCUUUUAUAGCGUUCGACUCGUUGGCAAGCGCGCUAGUUUUGAUUGGCCAUCGGACCUGGUGCCGAUUCUAAUCGCUAGUGACUGUUGGCUACGAUGUUCUCGGACAGACUCUUUUUUAUUUUGAAAACCGAUCUGCGACGCUAUAGCUUUGGGUAAUUUCAGGACCCGUCUUGAAACACGGACCAAGGAGUCUAGCAUGUACGCGAGUCAUUGGGAAUUAUUAAACCUAAAGGCGUAAUGAAAGUGAAGGUCUGUCUUUACGAUAGAUCGAGGGAAGACGAUGAACCUCAAGGGGUUUUUCUGCACUCCCGGAGCAUCUCAUUCUCAUUGCGAGAGGAGGUGCACCAAGAGCGUACACGCUGGGACCCGAAAGAUGGUGAACUAUGCCUG